This 2647-nucleotide ribosomal RNA is filed under the name Acanthaster planci (crown-of-thorns starfish). RNAcentral's name for it is "eukaryotic LSU rRNA". It matches the Rfam family "Eukaryotic large subunit ribosomal RNA", at positions 716 to 2858 of the family's 3401-position model. Lineage: Eukaryota; Metazoa; Echinodermata; Asteroidea; Valvatida; Acanthasteridae. The record is from RNAcentral.
GAAGCAAGCGGGAGGGCUGCGCGAAUCGGGCCGGGGAGAUUCAGCACAGCCGGCACGGUGUCCGCCGCGGCCCCGCAUCCCCCUAGCCGGGUGGCGGGGCCCGGGGGCGCCCCUGGUGCACCGCCGCCCUGCUGCCAGCACCCCCCGGGUGCGGCUGAGGAAAAGCGGGCAGGCUAGGGCCCGAAAGAUGGUGAACUAUGCCCGAGCAGGACCAAGCCAGAGGAAACUCUGGUGGAGGUCCUCAGCGAUUCUGACCUGGAAAUCGAUCGUCCGACUUGGGUAUAGCGGCAAAAGACUAAUCGAACCGUCUAGUUGCUUGUUCCCUCCGACGUUUCCUCAGGAUAGCUGGCGCCUGGGAAAGAGAGAGAGAGCAGUUGCAUCCGGUAAGCGAAUGAUUAGAGACCUUUGGGCCGAAAUCACCUCAACCUAUUCUCAAACUCAAAAUUGGGCCGGGCCCUCAAUGCACGGGCGCCCAGUGGGCCAUUCUUAGUAAGCAGGACUGGCGCUGCAGGAUGAACCGAACGGCGGGUUAGGGCGCUGCAUUGCGGCCGACGCUCAUCAGAGCCCAGAAAAGGCGUUGGUUGAAACAGACAGCGGGAGGUGGCCAUGGAAGUCGGAAUACGCCAAGGAGUGUGAAACAACUCACUUGCCGAAUCAACUAACCCUGAAACUGGAUGGCGCUGAGCGUGCCGCCCACACACAGACGUCGGGGCAGAGAGCGAGUGGGACCGCCGCCCUGGUGGUACGCCCCGGCGAGUAGGACGGCCGCCGCGGUGCGCGUCGAAGCACCUGCUGCGAGGCCGCGGGGCCGCGUGGAGCCGCUGCGGGAGCAGAUCUUGAUUGUAGUAGCAAAUAUUCGAGUGAUAUCCUCGAGGGCCGAGUGGCGGAGAAGGGUUCCAUGUGAACAGCACUUGUAUAUGGGUCAGUCGAUCCUAAGCCUCAGGGAAAAUCCUCCCCGAGCGGAGACGGGCGCCCCCCUCCUUGCGGGGCCGGGGCCUCGCCCCCCGUGCGAAAGGGAAUCAGGUCAACAUUUCUGAACCCGCAGGGGGAGCCCUCCGUCCUCCACGGCGGUCCGAGCUGCGAAGCAAGCGAGCCCGCAGACGCCGGCCUUGGCCCCGGGAAGAGUUUUCUUUUCUUGGUAAGGGGCGGGAUCCCUGAAAUCGGCUUGUCCAGAGCUAGGGGCUGCGGCCCCGUAGAGUGCCGCGUCUCCAGCGGCGUCCUGCGAGCUCCAGCCGGCCCUUGAAAAUGCGGGGGAGUGCGUGGACUGUCGCCUCGGGUCGUACCCAAAACUGCAGCCGGUCUCCAAGGUGAACAGCCUCUGGUCGAUAGAACAAUGUAGGUAAGGGAAUUCGGCAACCUGGAUCCAUAACUUCGUGAGAAGUAUUGGCUCUGAGGGCUGGGUCGGUCGGGCCGGGGCUGGAAGCGGGUCGCGGCGCCCCAUGUCCGCGCCAUGUCCGAGCGGCGUCACUUCCUCCCCCCCGCCAGACCGCAGGGCCGUACGCACGCAAGCCACCCUCCGUCCCCUCCGCCGCCCGCCCCGUCAAAGGGGCGCGGCCGCCGGUCGAAAGCGGCGGGCGGGUCACGGCACGCGGCACCUGCGGACCCAGGCGCCUGGCGGGGGACCCCGUCAGGCCGGCGCGCUGGCUCCCGAGCCCGGACCGGCGUGGGACCCGCCUCGUCGACAUUCCUUGCUGCGCGGCCGCCUCGUUGCGGUCGCUUCGGCCGGUGCCCAACAGCCGGCUCAGAACUGGUACGGACCAAGGAAUCCGACUGUCUAAUUAAAAUAGAGCAUCGCAACGUCCGCAGCCGGGGCGCUGAGGCGAUGUGAUUUCUGCUCAGUGCUCUGAAUGUCAAAGUGAAGAGAUUCAGCGAAGCGCGGUUAAACGGCGUAAGUAACUAUGACUCUCUUAAGGUAGCCAAAUGCCUCGACAUCUAAUUAGUGACGCGCAUGAAAGGGUUAACGAGAUUCCCACUGUCCCUAUCUACUCUCUAGCGAAACCACAGCCAAGGGAACGGGUUUGGCAGAAUCAUCGGGGAAAGAAGACCCUGUUGAACUUGACUCUAGUCUGACCUUGUGAUGGGGCACAGGGGUGUAGGAUAGGUGGGAGGGCCCCGGCCCGACGGUGAAAUACCACUACUCUCGUCAUUUCUUUACUUAGCCGGUGAUGCGGGGAGCGGGCCCCACGCGGGCCGAGUCUUCUUGCGCUACGCGGCCGGCCGCCUCACGGCGCCGACGGCCGCCACCCGCUCUGGCGACAGCGUCAGGCGGGGAGUUUGACUGGGGAGGUACAUCUGUCAAAGGGUAACGCAGGGGGCCUAAGGUGAGCUCAUCGAGAACAGAAAACCCCUUGCGGAGCAAAAGGGCAAAAGCUCGUUUGAUUUUGAUUUUCAGUAUGAAUACGGACCGUCAAAGCGUGGCCAACCAAUCCUUUUGAGCUUUGGAGUUUGAAGCAAGAGGUGUCAGAAAAGUUACCACAGGGAUAACUGGCUUGUGGCAGCCAAGCGUUCAUAGCAAGGAGGGCCGGCCAGCGGCCUUCGGGCGGGCCGAACCCUGAGGAGGAGGAGACCGGGGAGGACUGGCGGCGGAGGAGGAUAUGGCACAGCCGGAGGAGGGCCCGCCAGGACUGACGGCGGAGUGAACUGGCGC